RNAcentral lists this long non-coding RNA (1472 nucleotides) under Anas platyrhynchos platyrhynchos (common mallard). RNAcentral describes it as "lncRNA (ENSAPLG00000026982.1)". The record is from RNAcentral. Lineage: Eukaryota; Metazoa; Chordata; Aves; Anseriformes; Anatidae.
GGGAGCCUUGAAACCCCCAAGAUCCCUCUGGGGAGCCUCAAAACCACCAAAAUCCCUAAAAGGGAGCCCCAAAACCACACAACCCCCCCCCCGGCGGCCGGACAGAGCAGCAAGACGAGGAGCAGGGGACGAAGAAAGUCAUCGAGAACCCGAAACCGAGGGGAACGGCCCCAAAACGCGGCCCCGCGGCAAUAAAUAGGGGGUCCCCGGCCCCACGGGGGGGGUCCUCAGGUCAAAGGGGGGGUCCCCAGUAUAAAAAAAGGGGCUCCCAGUACAAAGGGGGGAGGGGAGCAGUAAAAAGGGGGGGGCUCGGCCCCAUUGGAGUGAGCUUGACCCCAAAAAGGGGUUGUCUGACCCCAAAAUGGGGGGUCCCCAGCCCCAAAUGGGGACGUUUUAGCCCCAAAAAGGGGGGUUUGGACCCCGAAAAAAGGGCUCUAACCCCAAAUAGCGGGGUCUUGUUCCCAAAUACGGGGCUCUCAGUCCCAAAAACAGGCGUUUUGUCCCCAAAAUGGGGCGCCCCCCCCCUCCUUGCCGGGACCACGGCCUGGUGUGGCCCCGCGGCCUCCGUCACCUCCAGGGCCUCCUGGGGGGGGGCUGGGGGGGGGGCCGGGGGGGCGAGGGCCAGCGCCAGCCCCGCCCCCAGCAGGGCCCCGCCCCCUCCCCAGCCGGCCCAGCACGGGAGGCCACGCCCACCUGCGGCGGGAGGCUCCGCCCCCAGCUCAGGCUCCGCCCCCAGCUCAGGCUCCGCCCCCUCCUCCUGUGGCUCCGCCUCCUCGCGGGGCUCCUCCUCCUCCUCCUCGGGGGGCGGGGCCUGGAAAGGGCGGGGCCAGUGGGGGUGAGAAAUGGGGGCGGAGCCUCAGCCCCAUAGACGUGGGGCAGGGACCCCCCAGUGCCCCAUAGAUGUGGGGCAGAGCCCCCCAAGUGCCCCCUGACUUACGUCCUGGGCCUCGCUGCCGGAGCCGUCGGGGGGCGGGCAGGAGCCUUCCUCGCCCCCUUCCUCACCCCCCUCCUCUUCCUCCUCCUCCUCCUCUUCCUCGUCCUCUGGCCCCGAGGCGUUGGUGGCACUGGUGGCACUGGUGGCACUGAUGGUGCUGCUGCUGCGGCUGGCCAGGCUGCCAUCCCCCGGAGACUCCUGGGGACACUGGGGUGAGGGGGGGGGGUACUGGGAGGGGACUGGGAGCAUUGGGAGGUGCUGGGAGGGGACUGGGAGCACUGGGAGGGGACUGGGGGGCACUGGGGGGGUACUGGGAGGGAACUGGGAGGCACUGGAGAGCACUGGGAGGCAUCGUAGGGAGUCUGUGGGGUGUUAUAGGGGGGCUGUGGGGCACUGUGGGGGGUUAUGGGGUCUUUAUGGGGUCUCUGGGGGUCCCUAUGGGGUCUGUGGGGUCCCUGGGGUCUCACCUGGGCGCUGUUCCCGUGCCCCCCCCAUGCCGGGCGGCGCCGGGGGGGCUCCAGGAGCUGCAGCAGCCGGG